RNAcentral lists this ribosomal RNA (354 nucleotides) under Eukaryota sp. RNAcentral's name for it is "SSU rRNA". It matches the Rfam family "Eukaryotic small subunit ribosomal RNA", at positions 1324 to 1699 of the family's 1831-position model. The record is from RNAcentral.
UGCGUUAACGAACGAGACCUUAACCUGCUAAAUAGCCCGUAUUGCUUUGGCAGUACGCUGACUUCUUAGAGGGACUAUCGGUGUGUAGCCGACGGAAGUUCGAGGCAAUAACAGGUCUGUGAUGCCCUUAGAUGUUCUGGGCUGCACGCGCGCUACACUGAUGAUUGCAUCGAGCUUACAACCUUGACUGAGAGGUCUGGGUAAUCUUUUUAACGAUCAUCGUGCUGGGGAUAGAUUAUUGUAAUUAUUAAUCUUCAACGAGGAAUUCCUAGUAAACGCAAGUCAUCAACUUGCAUUGAUUACGUCCCUGCCCUUUGUACACACCGCCCGUCGCUAAUACCGAUUGAAUGGAUA